AGUGAACGCUGGCGGUAGGCCUAACACAUGCAAGUCGAACGGCAGCACAGUAAGAGCUUGCUCUUACGGGUGGCGAGUGGCGGACGAGUGAGGAAUACAUCGGAAUCUACUUUUUCGUGGGGGAUAACGUAGGGAAACUUACGCUAAUACCGCAUACGACCUACGGGUGAAAGCAGGGGAUCUUCGGACCUUGCGCGAUUGAAUGAGCCGAUGUCGGAUUAGCUAGUUGGCGGGGUAAAGGCCCACCAAGGCGACGAUCCGUAGCUGGUCUGAGAGGAUGAUCAGCCACACUGGAACUGAGACACGGUCCAGACUCCUACGGGAGGCAGCAGUGGGGAAUAUUGGACAAUGGGCGCAAGCCUGAUCCAGCCAUACCGCGUGGGUGAAGAAGGCCUUCGGGUUGUAAAGCCCUUUUGUUGGGAAAGAAAGCAGCAGGUUAAUACCCCGCUGUUCUGACGGUACCCAAAGAAUAAGCACCGGCUAACUUCGUG
Molecule: ribosomal RNA, 491 nt
Filed under: uncultured bacterium
Lineage: Bacteria
Description: partial 16S ribosomal RNA
Rfam family: Bacterial small subunit ribosomal RNA
Source: RNAcentral